Molecule: ribosomal RNA, 486 nt
Filed under: uncultured bacterium
Lineage: Bacteria
Description: partial 16S ribosomal RNA
Rfam family: Bacterial small subunit ribosomal RNA
Source: RNAcentral
AUUGAACGCUGGCGGCAUGCCUUACACAUGCAAGUCGAACGGCAGCACGGGUGCUUGCACCUGGUGGCGAGUGGCGAACGGGUGAGUAAUACAUCGGAACAUGUCCUGUAGCGGGGGAUAGCCCGGCGAAAGCCGGAUUAAUACCGCAUACGAUCUACGGAUGAAAGCGGGGGACCUUCGGGCCUCGCGCUAUAGGGUUGGCCGAUGGCUGAUUAGCUAGUUGGUGGGGUAAAGGCCUAUCAAGGCGACGAUCAGUAGCUGGUCUGAGAGGACGACCAGCCACACUAGGACUGAGACACGGCCCAGACGACUGCGGGAGGCAGCAGUGGGGAAUUUUGGACAAUGGGCGAAAGCCUGAUCCAGCAAUGCCGCGUGUGUGAAGGAGGCCUUCGGGUUGUAAAGCACUUUUGUCCGGAAAGAAAUCCUUGGCCCUAAUACGGUCGGGGGAUGACGGUACCGGAAGAAUAAGCACCGGCUAACUACGUG